UUGACGGGACCGCACAAGCGGUGGAUGAUGUGGAUUAAUUCGAUGCAACGCGAAAACCUUACCUACCCUUGACAUGUCCGGAAUCCUGCAGGGAUGCGGGAGUGCCCGAAAGGGAAUCGGAACACAGGUGCUGCAUGGCUGUCGUCAGCUCGUGUCGUGAGAUGUUGGGUUAAGUCCCGCAACGAGCGCAACCCUUAUCAUUAGUUGCUACGCAAGGGCACUCUAAUGAGACUGCCGGUGACAAACCGGAGGAAGGUGGGGAUGACGUCAAGUCCUCAUGGCCCUUAUGGGUAGGGCUUCACACGUCAUACAAUGGUCGGUACAGAGGGUUGCCAAGCCGCGAGGCGGAGCCAAUCCCACAAAGCCGAUCGUAGUCCGGAUUGUUCUCUGCAACUCGAGAGCAUGAAGUCGGAAUCGCUAGUAAUCGCAGGUCAGCAUACUGCGGUGAAUACGUUCCCGGGUCUU
RNAcentral lists this ribosomal RNA (465 nucleotides) under uncultured Thiobacillus sp. RNAcentral's name for it is "bacterial SSU rRNA". It matches the Rfam family "Bacterial small subunit ribosomal RNA", at positions 910 to 1382 of the family's 1533-position model. Lineage: Bacteria; Pseudomonadati; Pseudomonadota; Betaproteobacteria; Nitrosomonadales; Thiobacillaceae. The record is from RNAcentral.